RNAcentral lists this ribosomal RNA (425 nucleotides) under uncultured bacterium. RNAcentral describes it as "bacterial SSU rRNA". It matches the Rfam family "Bacterial small subunit ribosomal RNA", at positions 355 to 796 of the family's 1533-position model. The record is from RNAcentral.
UGAGGAAUUUUCGUCAAUGGGGGCAACCCUGAACGAGCAACGCCGCGUGCAGGAAGAAGGUUUUCGGAUCGUAAACUGCUUUUCUGAGGGACGAGCAAGGACGGUACCUCAGGAAGAAGCCCCGGCUAACUACGUGCCAGCAGCCGCGGUAAUACGUAGGGGGCGAGCGUUGUCCGGAGUUAUUGGGCGUAAAGGGCACGCAGGCGGUCUCUUAAGUUCGGAGUGACAGUCGUCGGCUUAACUGACGAAGGCCUUGGAAGACUGAGAGACUUGAGGGCUCACGAGGGACACGGAAUUCCGGGUGUAGUGGUGAAAUGCGUAGAUAUCCGGAGGAACACCAAAGGCGUAGGCAGUGUCCUGGGGAGUACCUGACGCUCAGGUGCGAAAGCCAGGGGAGCGAACGGGAUUAGAUACCCCCGUAGUCC